Molecule: ribosomal RNA, 529 nt
Filed under: uncultured bacterium
Lineage: Bacteria
Description: partial 16S ribosomal RNA
Rfam family: Bacterial small subunit ribosomal RNA
Source: RNAcentral
AGGGAAUCUUCCACAAUGGACGAAAGUCUGAUGGAGCAACGCCGCGUGAGUGAAGAAGGUUUUCGGAUCGUAAAGCUCUGUUGUUGGUGAAGAAGGAUAGAGGCAGUAACUGGUCUUUAUUUGACGGUAAUCAACCAGAAAGUCACGGCUAACUACGUGCCAGCAGCCGCGGUAAUACGUAGGUGGCAAGCGUUGUCCGGAUUUAUUGGGCGUAAAGCGAGCGCAGGCGGAAUGAUAAGUCUGAUGUGAAAGCCCACGGCUCAACCGUGGAACUGCAUCGGAAACUGUCAUUCUUGAGUGCAGAAGAGGAGAGUGGAACUCCAUGUGUAGCGGUGGAAUGCGUAGAUAUAUGGAAGAACACCAGUGGCGAAGGCGGCUCUCUGGUCUGCAACUGACGCUGAGGCUCGAAAGCAUGGGUAGCGAACAGGAUUAGAUACCCUGGUAGUCCAUGCCGUAAACGAUGAGCGCUAGGUGUUGGGGACUUUCCGGUCCUCAGUGCCGCAGCAAACGCAUUAAGCGCUCCGCCUGG